Molecule: non-coding RNA, 290 nt
Organism: Cinara cedri
Lineage: Eukaryota; Metazoa; Arthropoda; Insecta; Hemiptera; Aphididae
Source: the annotation of a GenBank genome assembly
AGGCAAUCAUCAACGCUUAUAAGGAAGUUUUCCUACAGUUUCUCUUAGUCGUUGCUUAUUUUUCAGUUGGGCCAAUCAGUAUACAGACAAAUAAAGUCUGAGGAACUUAAACAACCUUUUUUACCGUUCUUAAAUGACAUAUACAUAUUAUAUGAGUCUAUUAUUAGCUUUUGCGCCCACGUUUCAGGUUCUAUGCACCUUCAUAAUUUUGUAAAACAAGUCACCUUCUUCUAAUAUUGGAAUACUUCGAGAAAAAAUUAUGUUCUUGACGUGGAAGGAUAAUAAUCGUU